GACGAACGCUGGCGGCGUGCUUAACACAUGCAAGUCGAACGGAAAGGCCCUGCUUGCAGGGUACUCGAGUGGCGAACGGGUGAGUAGCACGUGGGUGAUCUGCCUUGCACUUCGGGAUAAGCCUGGGAAACUGGGUCUAAUACCGGAUAGGAGCCAUUUUUAGUGUGAUGGUUGGAAAGUUUUUUCGGUGUAGGAUGAGCUCGCGGCCUAUCAGCUUGUUGGUGGGGUAAUGGCCUACCAAGGCGGCGACGGGUAGCCGGCCUGAGAGGGUGGACGGCCACAUUGGGACUGAGAUACGGCCCAGACGCCUACGGGAGGCAGCAGUGGGGAAGCUUGCACCAUGGGCGCAAGCCUGAUGCAGCGACGCUGCGUGGGGGAUGACGGCCUUCGGGUUGUAAACUCCUUUCGCUAGGGACGAAGCUUUUUGUGACGGUACCUAGAUAAGAAGCACCGGCUAACUACGUG
This 465-nucleotide ribosomal RNA is filed under the name uncultured bacterium. RNAcentral's name for it is "partial 16S ribosomal RNA". It matches the Rfam family "Bacterial small subunit ribosomal RNA", at positions 28 to 507 of the family's 1533-position model. The record is from RNAcentral.